Molecule: small nucleolar RNA, 69 nt
Filed under: Echinops telfairi (small Madagascar hedgehog)
Lineage: Eukaryota; Metazoa; Chordata; Mammalia; Afrosoricida; Tenrecidae
Description: Small nucleolar RNA SNORD112 (ENSETEG00000026083.1)
Source: RNAcentral
UACACCAAUGAUGAGAAUGUGUCAUGAACUAAGGAAUGUGAUUAAUUCACUGUAAGCCUGAGGUCCAAU